CGGGUGAGUAACGCGUGGAUAACCUGCCUCACACUGGGGGAUAACAGUUAGAAAUGACUGCUAAUACCGCAUGAGCGCACAGUACCGCAUGGUACGGUGUGAAAAACUCCGGUGGUGUGAGAUGGAUCCGCGUCUGAUUAGCCAGUUGGCGGGGUAACGGCCCACCAAAGCGACGACCAGUAGCCGACCUGAGAGGGUGACCGGCCACAUUGGGACUGAGACACGGCCCAA
Molecule: ribosomal RNA, 231 nt
Filed under: uncultured bacterium
Lineage: Bacteria
Description: partial 16S ribosomal RNA
Rfam family: Bacterial small subunit ribosomal RNA
Source: RNAcentral